GACGAACGCUGGCGGCGUGCCUAAUACAUGCAAGUUGAGCGAUGAAGAUUGGUGCUUGCACCAAUUUGAAGAGCAGCGAACGGGUGAGUAACGCGUGGGGAAUCUGCCUUUGAGCGGGGGACAACAUUUGGAAACGAAUGCUAAUACCGCAUAACAACUUUAAACAUAAGUUUUAAGUUUGAAAGAUGCAAUUGCAUCACUCAAAGAUGAUCCCGCGUUGUAUUAGCUAGUUGGUGAGGUAAAGGCUCACCAAGGCGAUGAUACAUAGCCGACCUGAGAGGGUGAUCGGCCACAUUGGGACUGAGACACGGCCCAAACUCCUACGGGAGGCAGCAGUAGGGAAUCUUCGGCAAUGGACGAAAGUCUGACCGAGCAACGCCGCGGGAGUGAAGAAGGUUUUCGGAUCGUAAAACUCUGUUGGUAGAGAAGAACGUUGGUGAGAGUGGAAAGCUCAUCAAGUGACGGUAACUACACAGAAAGGGACGGCUAACUACGUG
Molecule: ribosomal RNA, 497 nt
Filed under: uncultured bacterium
Lineage: Bacteria
Description: partial 16S ribosomal RNA
Rfam family: Bacterial small subunit ribosomal RNA
Source: RNAcentral